RNAcentral lists this ribosomal RNA (1387 nucleotides) under Brenneria salicis. Its description in RNAcentral is "bacterial SSU rRNA". It matches the Rfam family "Bacterial small subunit ribosomal RNA", at positions 56 to 1433 of the family's 1533-position model. The record is from RNAcentral. Lineage: Bacteria; Pseudomonadati; Pseudomonadota; Gammaproteobacteria; Enterobacterales; Pectobacteriaceae.
UGCAGUCGAGCGGUAACACAGAGGAGCUUGCUCCUUGGGUGACGAGCGGCGGACGGGUGAGUAAAGUCUGGGGAUCUGCCUGAUGGAGGGGGAUAACUACUGGAAACGGUAGCUAAUACCGCAUGACGUCUUCGGACCAAAGUGGGGGACCUUCGGGCCUCACGCCAUGAGAUGAACCCAGAUGGGAUUAGCUGGUAGGUGAGGUAACGGCUCACCUAGGCGACGAUCCCUAGCUGGUCUGAGAGGAUGACCAGCCACACUGGAACUGAGACACGGUCCAGACUCCUACGGGAGGCAGCAGUGGGGAAUAUUGCACAAUGGGGGAAACCCUGAUGCAGCCAUGCCGCGUGUGUGAAGAAGGCCUUCGGGUUGUAAAGCACUUUCAGCGGGGAGGAAGGCAAUAAACUUAAUAAGUUUGUUGAUUGACGUUACCCGCAGAAGAAGCACCGGCUAACUCCGUGCCAGCAGCCGCGGUAAUACGGAGGGUGCAAGCGUUAAUCGGAAUGACUGGGCGUAAAGCGCACGCAGGCGGUCUGUUAAGUUGGAUGUGAAAUCCCCGGGCUCAACCCGGGAACAGCAUUCAAAACUGACAGGCUAGAGUCUCGUAGAGGGGGGUAGAAUUCCAGGUGUAGCGGUGAAAUGCGUAGAGAUCUGGAGGAAUACCGGUGGCGAAGGCGGCCCCCUGGACGAAGACUGACGCUCAGGUGCGAAAGCGUGGGGAGCAAACAGGAUUAGAUACCCUGGUAGUCCACGCCGUAAACGAUGUCGACUUGGAGGCUGUGGUCUUGAACCGUGGCUUCCGGAGCUAACGCGUUAAGUCGACCGCCUGGGGAGUACGGCCGCAAGGUUAAAACUCAAAUGAAUUGACGGGGGCCCGCACAAGCGGUGGAGCAUGUGGUUUAAUUCGAUGCAACGCGAAGAACCUUACCUACUCUUGACAUCCAGAGAAGACUGUAGAGAUACGGGUUGUGCCUUCGGGAGCUCUGAGACAGGUGCUGCAUGGCUGUCGUCAGCUCGUGUUGUGAAAUGUUGGGUUAAGUCCCGCAACGAGCGCAACCCUUAUCCUUUGUUGCCAGCGAUACGGUCGGGAACUCAAAGGAGACUGCCGGUGAUAAACCGGAGGAAGGUGGGGAUGACGUCAAGUCAUCAUGGCCCUUACGAGUAGGGCUACACACGUGCUACAAUGGCGCAUACAAAGAGAAGCGAGCCUGCGAGGGUGAGCGGACCUCAUAAAGUGCGUCGUAGUCCGGAUUGGAGUCUGCAACUCGACUCCAUGAAGUCGGAAUCGCUAGUAAUCGUAGAUCAGAAUGCUACGGUGAAUACGUUCCCGGGCCUUGUACACACCGCCCGUCACACCAUGGGAGUGGGUUGCAAAAGAAGUAGGUAG